UACGGAAGGGGCAAGCGUUGUUCGGAAUCAUUGGGCGUAAAGGGCGCGCAGGUGGCUCUGUAUGUCCGCCGUGAAAGCAUACAGCUCAACUGUAUUGUGUCGGUAGAAACUGCAGGACUUGAGGCUGGGAGGGGCUGGUGGAAUUCCCUGUGUAGCGGUGAAAUGCGCAGAUAUCAGGAGGAACACCCGUAGCGAAGGCGGCACUCUGGGCCGAUACUGACACUGAGGAGCGAAAGCGUGGGGAGCGAACAGG
Molecule: ribosomal RNA, 253 nt
Filed under: uncultured bacterium
Lineage: Bacteria
Description: partial 16S ribosomal RNA
Rfam family: Bacterial small subunit ribosomal RNA
Source: RNAcentral